GGGCCGCUAGCUCAGUCGGUAGAGCACCUCCCUUUUAAGGAGGGGGCCGUUGGUUCGAGUCCAACGCGGCUCA
This 73-nucleotide transfer RNA is filed under the name Pseudobdellovibrionaceae bacterium. RNAcentral describes it as "Bdellovibrionaceae bacterium tRNA-Lys". It matches the Rfam family "tRNA". From Rfam's summary of the family: Transfer RNA (tRNA) molecules are approximately 80 nucleotides in length. Their secondary structure includes four short double-helical elements and three loops (D, anti-codon, and T loops). Further hydrogen bonds mediate the characteristic L-shaped molecular structure. tRNAs have two regions of fundamental functional importance: the anti-codon, which is responsible for specific mRNA codon recognition, and the 3' end, to which the tRNAs corresponding amino acid is attached (by aminoacyl-tRNA synthetases). tRNAs cope with the degeneracy of the genetic code in two manners: having more than one tRNA (with a specific anti-codon) for a particular amino acid; and 'wobble' base-pairing, i.e. permitting non-standard base-pairing at the 3rd anti-codon position. Lineage: Bacteria; Pseudomonadati; Bdellovibrionota; Bdellovibrionia; Bdellovibrionales; Pseudobdellovibrionaceae. RNAcentral also lists the same sequence under 2 other names. The record is from RNAcentral.